RNAcentral lists this ribosomal RNA (253 nucleotides) under uncultured bacterium. Its description in RNAcentral is "partial 16S ribosomal RNA". It matches the Rfam family "Bacterial small subunit ribosomal RNA", at positions 524 to 776 of the family's 1533-position model. The record is from RNAcentral.
UACGAAGGGUGCAAGCGUUACUCGGAAUUACUGGGCGUAAAGCGUGCGCAGGCGGCUUUGCAAGACAGAUGUGAAAUCCCCGGGCUCAACCUGGGAACUGCAUUUGUGACUGCAUGGCUAGAGUACGGUAGAGGGGGAUGGAAUUCCGCGUGUAGCAGUGAAAUGCGUAGAUAUGCGGAGGAACACCGAUGGCGAAGGCAAUCCCCUGGACCUGUACUGACGCUCAUGCACGAAAGCGUGGGGAGCAAACAGG